GACGAACGCUGGCGGCGUGCUUAACACAUGCAAGUCGAGCGGUAAGGCCCUUUCGGGGGUACACGAGCGGCGAACGGGUGAGUAACACGUGGGUGACCUGCCCUCAGCUCUGGGAUAAGCCUGGGAAACCGGGUCUAAUACUGGAUAUGACUCCAUGACGCAUGUUGUGGGGUGGAAAGCCUUGUGCGGCUGAGGAUCGGGCCCGCGGCCUAUCAGCUUGUUGGUGGGGUGAUGGCCUACCAAGGCGACGACGGGUAGCCGGCCUGAGAGGGCGACCGGCC
RNAcentral lists this ribosomal RNA (281 nucleotides) under uncultured bacterium. Its description in RNAcentral is "partial 16S ribosomal RNA". It matches the Rfam family "Bacterial small subunit ribosomal RNA", at positions 28 to 309 of the family's 1533-position model. The record is from RNAcentral.